Molecule: long non-coding RNA, 3793 nt
Filed under: Sus scrofa (pig)
Lineage: Eukaryota; Metazoa; Chordata; Mammalia; Artiodactyla; Suidae
Description: lncRNA (ENSSSCG00025053138.1)
Source: RNAcentral
AUUGCAGAGCCGCACAGCUGGGGACCAGAUCCUCACGGUGAGAGGAGCUGCUUUGUGCUCACCCUCAGCCCAAGGAAGACUCCUGGGGUCAAGGCCACAAUCUGUUUUCUCUUCCCCAAGGGUGAAGCCACACCUCCGUUCCAGCCUGACCCAGAAACGGAGCGGAAGGGAGAUUCCUGAGACCCUGCAGCUGCCACCAUGAGCUCAGAUGACCCGAGGGACCACUCAGAGAGUGAAAGCUUUUUGGAGGAGGUCACUGAGUAUUUUCGGAACACAGUGAGUAGGGAAGAACUGCAGCUCCUGCUCACUGAAGGCAAAGCCUGGGAGAAAUUUGUGACUGAGGCUGAUUUGUCCAGGUAAUGGGCACUGCUGUACCAAGAAUGUCACCCAGAUCCCCCCACCCCAGAUUAGUUUUCUCCUGGCAGGCACACCUCCUCCAGGCAGUAUCCUAUGGUUGGGUUCAAGGAUGUUCCUUCUCAAGAUUCCAUAAGUAAUAUUUCCUCCAUCUCAUUUGCUGGCAGUGAACAGUCUCAGUUGAGCAGAGAUGAAACCUGCAAGGAAGCAGCAGGUUGUGUGACCUUGGAUAAGUUACGUAACUACUCCCUGCCUUAGUUUCUUCAUCUCUUCAGUCUUAUUGUGGGGAACUGAGAUUGUGCAGGCAAAGUGCUUAGUGUAAUUGCUGGCACAUGGUAGGUGCUCAAUUCAUGUUAGCUUUUAAAAAGUUUGUUGUGAAGAGACCGGGGACAAGGAUCUUGAUCUUGGAGGCAAGCAGGACUUCCUUUGGAACAAGUCAGAAAAUCCUGAUGUCAUCAGUUUGUGUUGCUGGGAUUCUGGCUAGAGCCCUUUUUUUCCCAGUCUUAGCAACUGUACAAACGCUGUCGGAUCCUGCUGGCCCAACAGGCAGAGAGGCUGGAGUGGAAUAGGAUCAGGCUGGGCUGGAUCCUGGCUUGACCCCGGCCCAGCUCUGGAACCUUGGUUAUGUCUCGAAUGUCAAAUUUGUCAUCUAUCCAAUGGGGAUGGCAAUUCAAUCUGAUGGAUGGUGGCAAUGGCCUUCGAGUGAACUGCAGGGUCAGAGGUGGGGAGCCACGUGCAAUCAUCUCAUCCAAAGGCCCAGGACACCUGGACCAGGGUCAGACCUGGGGGUCAGGAUGGAGCAGAGGGGUCUGAGGUGGAGGAGGAGUAGGAAGGUUUGGGCAACAGGGCCAGGGCUGGAGUGAGGCGAGUGGACCCCCGGACACCGAACUGCAGGGGCUGCUCACCUGGCAGAGAUCCCCUGAGUGGGAGAGGGGACAUUUCUUCCCUCCCUGACCUGGUCCCCUCCUGCCGGGCAUCCAGGGCCUUGGGUGACCGUGUCCUCCACACCCUGCCUGGGAGCUGGGGGUUCUCCCUGCCACCUGGGCCCCUCUUCUGUUCUACGCAGGGUAGCCCUGACCGGUGGGAAGGCAGUGUGGCCUGGGGACAACUCCAACAUUACAACGAGUGGCUGCCAGUUCUGUAUAAUUUGAGAGCUUCUGAGCAGACUCACGAGUUCCCACCAACGAGGAAACUCUUCCUCAGGCCGAGCAGUUCUUAGGGAUGAUUCCCAAAGUCUCUUGACUCUUUCAGAGGUUCCAUAAACUCGCCACGGCCUUGGUGUGCAGGCAGGUGAAGCUGUCACCAGCUAAGGUAUGGGUUAGGCUGGUGACCCCUGAGACGUCGGGGUGCUGGGUCAGGAGUCAGUGAGGUGGGCCCGAGGGGCGCCAGGGUAAUAGCACAUCUCCUGCUUCCCAGUCAGCGGGGACAGUGGAUGGACCCGUGACCUUCAGCGGGGAAGGCCAAGGGCACGCGGCUUGGAAGACAGCAGCUGCUGGGCAAACCGAUCAUUAAGGCCUCUGCCAGCUCUGAGUUUUUAUUGUUUUAGAAGAAUUCCGAGUAAGCAGCAGUCACCAGUCUGCCACCCGAGACACAGUCCUCGGGACUCUCCUUACCUUUGACACCAAUGGCAAAUGUGGGGGCUUCCCCAAACCCUCUCAGGUGCGAGAGCUCCCUAGAGGGAGGCGCAGAACUCACUGAAGCUGUGGUGACCCCCGUUAGGGUGUCUGCCAGGGCAGGAUGUGGGUGACCAUCAGCCACAGGGCAGAGGCUGGGAGGGUUUUGAACGGGCAGCUCCCGUUGUCCUCAGGACGCACAGCUGUCCUGUGUUCCAGGGGGACAGGGCCCACGGAGCCCUGCCCGGCAGGGAUGCUCCCCUUGUUUAAAAAACAAAUGCUUCCGACCCUUGUUAAAAUGAUAAGGAAGACGUUACUGAGGCCCAUCGUGAGAGGUGCAAAGACCAUCGCCGUGGGGGAGAGACUGGGCUCAAAGUCAAAUGCGUCAGAGACAACGGGGACUCAUCACCAAGGAGCAGGGGCUGCCGGGGUGGAUGGAAGGUUCCUGGGGGGAGACGUCAAGGGUAGGGACCCCUGUUAAACUUUCCCAGGAGGGCUCUUGCUAAAAGGAGGUCGAGGACCUAUGCCUCAAAGGUGAUCCGAUGUCAAGAGUGCCCGUGGGACGUUCUCCCUAGAGUGACCUGCAAGAGUUCUGGCUGAACGCGGGCGAUGGGGGCCAUCGAGGACACGGAUGUGAGGUCAAGGGUCGGUGAGAAGGGGGCUCAGAAGAGCCUGCCUCAAGUUUGGUCAAGGGGAGAGUCUUUUCCACCGGAGCCUCGGUGUCCGGAGUUUUGCUGGGGCUCCAUCACAUGCUGCCCGCACGGCUGACCUGCUGCCUCCAGCCCCUCCCGGGGCUCAGGCUACUGUCCCAGGGUCCAGCUCCUCCAGCAAUUAUUCCCCGUGACCCAGAGGCCCCAUCGCGCAUCGCCUUGUGGGGCUGCCCAGUGGCCAAGGGCCCAGGUGGACAAGAACACUCCUCUCAGCCAGAACAUUCCAGGGGCUCAGGGGUCACUACCAGUAGCCAAGGGCAGCGAGCAGGUUAACGCCUCACCGCCACCAAGUUCCUCUGACUGAGGGAUUUCUGCUCCAGUCCCACUGUUCUUUGUUCAUCUGUGGUCCCUCCUACACUCUUUUUGUUUUUGUUUUGUUUUCCUUUUUUUUUUUCCAAUGUAUUAUUGGCAUUUAUUGUUUCAACUUUUUUUUUUUUUUUUUUUUUGUCUUCUUGCAUUUUCUAGGGCCACUCCCGCGGCAUGUGGAGGUUCCCAGGCUAGGUGUCAAAUCGGAGUUGUUGUCGCUGGCCUACGCCACAGCCACAGCAGAUCCGAGCCAAGUCUGUAACCUACACCACAGCUCCUGGCAAGGCCAGAUCCUUUACCCACUGAGCAAGGCCAGGGAUGGAACCUGCAACCUCAUAGUUCCCAGUUGGAUUCGUUUCUGCUUUGCCAUGAUGGGAACUUCUUAUUGUUUCAGCUUAUUAUGAAGAUUCUCAUGCUUCUGAAUUAGUUAGUAUGACAAAUAUUUGGAAAUACAUUUUUUAUAUUGUGCUCUGAUCAUUUCCAAUUUUUGAAAUAUUUUUAAAAUUAAAAAAUUUUUCCUACUCACUCUUCGAAAUUGAUGGUGUUGACCUGCCUCUGAGGCAUCUUUAUCAAAUACCUAUCUUAAGCGUAUAAUCAGAUGGAGCUCCUGUUAUGGCUCAGCAGGUCAAGAACCUGACAUGUUGUUGACGAUGCGGAUUUGAUCCCUGGCCUCGCUCAGUGGGUUGAGGAUCCUGCUUUGCUGUGAGCUGAGGUGUCGGUCGCAGAUGUGACUUGGAUCCAGUAUUGCUGUGGCUGUGGUGUAGGCCUGGACCCCUAGCCUGGGAACUUCCAUAUGCCGCAGGUGUUACC